Molecule: small RNA, 671 nt
Filed under: Pongo abelii (Sumatran orangutan)
Lineage: Eukaryota; Metazoa; Chordata; Mammalia; Primates; Hominidae
Description: processed transcript
Source: RNAcentral
GGUUUCCUGAAGCAGCUGGAAGUCCUGGAUGGUUCCCACCUGAAAGUCCGUUUGCAAAGGCAAUGCGCACUCAGGCACCAGAGGGCAGAGGGGCUCAAGUUCCAGGGUUUUAAGGUGCUUGGAACUCCCAGGAGCCUGGCAAAACCUUCAUCCAGAACCUCUUCCUCAAGCAAGACAAAAAGCUGCUAAGCACUGCUCCCUCCGUCUCUGUGAAGAGACCAGCUUCUAACAGACAGUGCUGGGCUGACCCCCCAUCAUGCCAGGCUGGCUCACCCUCUCCACACUCUGCCGCUUCCUUCUUUGGGCCUUCACCAUCUUCCACAAAGCCCAAGGAGACCCAGGUAAGACCCCAGCCCAGGCCAGAAUCUGGGGAAAUCUUGGGGAGUCUGCAAGGGUGGGGAAAGGGGAAAGGGCAGUUGUUGCAGGAGUGAAAGUCAUUGCUGAGAAGGCAAUGGAGGAGAGGGUUGGGGGGCUCUGGAGAAAGCAUUUGGGGAGCAGGGUCUGUUGGGCACUUGGGGCAGUGAGGAUCGGGGGUUCCUGCCACUGUGGCCCCCUCUGCCCAGCAUCCCACCCGGGCCCCCACUACCUCCUGCCCCCCAUCCACGAGGUCAUUCACUCUCAUCGUGGGGCCACGGCCACGCUGCCCUGCGUCCUGGGCACCACGCCUCCCA